UACAGAGGUGGCAAGCGUUGUUCGGAAUUACUGGGCGUAAAGGGCGCGUAGGCGGUCUUGCAAGUCCCGUGUGAAAUCCCUCGGCUUAACCGGGGAACUGCGUCUGAUACUGGCAGGCUUGAAUCCGGGAGAGGGACGUGGAAUUCCAGGUGUAGCGGUGAAAUGCGUAGAUAUCUGGAGGAACACCGGUGGCGAAGGCGGCGUCCUGGACCGGUAUUGACGCUGAGGAGCGAAAGCCAGGGGGAGCAAAC
RNAcentral lists this ribosomal RNA (251 nucleotides) under uncultured bacterium. Its description in RNAcentral is "partial 16S ribosomal RNA". It matches the Rfam family "Bacterial small subunit ribosomal RNA", at positions 524 to 773 of the family's 1533-position model. The record is from RNAcentral.